This is a long non-coding RNA of Lolium rigidum, 616 nucleotides long. RefSeq lists it as uncharacterized. The record is from RefSeq and is a predicted model, not a curated record. NCBI's taxonomy places the organism in Eukaryota, Viridiplantae, Streptophyta, Magnoliopsida, Poales, Poaceae. The transcript is spliced from 2 exons.
CCAGUAAUAGAAUCAGUUAUAUUUUCCAUGAACUAGAUAUUAUUUCUCUAUCUAUAAUUUUAUUGAGAUUACUCCUAUUUCCUAACGACAAUACUGCUGCUUUCAUUAAUGCAUUGUUGUUAUCCUGAUAUUUUCCUUCUUUAUAGGCAGAUCUGAAUUAUAUACCUAACCUACAUCUUUCCGAAAUAAUCACUUUCAGAUUGGCAUGGAUUUUCUUCUAAAUGUAUGGACUGGUCCUGAAGGAAGGUCGAUAAGCACACUGUAUGAGUGUUGAUGUCACAAGGUCUAUUGGAUGGCCAUCUAGCUAGGGCUAGCAAUUACACGAGAGGGGCAGAAACCAUGAAGCGGGCGGUUCACAUCAAUUGGAUUUUCCGUGUAUAGGAGCAAACCGUGAAUUACCCAAGUUUCUUAGUGUAAAUUAGUGCAGCUGAAGCAUACUGUUUCCUCUAUUUUACAUCAGCUAUCACUAUGUAAACCUCUACGGUGUCUUAGGCACUGAACCAUACUGUUUCCUCUAUUUUACCUUUGAGUUUAUGAGAAGUAUUCGUGUAAAAGAAUUAAUUAAAAUGUUUGGUUCUGGUUUGAUAAGUUUCAAGGACAUGCACAUUACUGUUAA